Molecule: long non-coding RNA, 1892 nt
Organism: Camponotus floridanus (Florida carpenter ant)
Lineage: Eukaryota; Metazoa; Arthropoda; Insecta; Hymenoptera; Formicidae
Exons: 6
Source: RefSeq, a predicted model, not a curated record
CUUGCCGCGAUCUCCACCCACGUUGUUACACAUAUACUGCGUCAUGCGAGGCGGGCCCGCGAAACUGGGCUGCGAAACGCGUCGCCGAUAUGCUUGGCGUUGAAAACGGGAAGGAAUCUACCCAGCGAACACCAAGUAACAGUUAUAUUGUUCGUUAGAAUUUCCCGCCCGACAAUGUAAUUGUUAUUUAAUACGUAAUGUUAUAUAACAUGUAACAGUUAUAUUGUUGAGUGGGAAAUUAACUAACAGUUAUAUAACUGUUACUUGGUGUUGACUGGGUAGUUAUGUCAAGUUACCCCGCUUCUACUGCUCUUCGUUCUCCCAAGGAUCUGCCAGAAAGGAUACGCCAACGCGACCGCAUGAAUCCUCCGCAUGAGAUAUCGUUUACAACCACAGCGGGACGCUUUUAUUUUUCAAACUUGACGGCGAGAGCUAUUCCUUUUUUAUAUAUUGCGAGACAACUACAAUUUGUGACAUUCCUAGAAAUGUAAAGUUCCGUCUUCUUCGGAGCUAAAAGCAUUUACGGCGAUAAAUGGAAGAUAGGUACUUCCAUUUCCUGUCGCGUCAAAUUGUUUAUUCGGGCGGCUCGAAGAUUGGAUGCCUAUCAAUUUCCGGGAUGCACGAAAUUGCCUCAUAUGUUGGCACGUUUUUGGGAUAUCUACAUUUACUUGUUAAAGUGGCUUGCAUUACUUCCAAAAGGGAUUAAUUAAAAUAGUAAUGGAUCUUUGGGGAGUAAUAAACGCGAGUAUCAUGUGUCUGCGCAGAGAGCGAAAUUAACGCGAAGGACGGACGAAAACUAGCUCGUUUGCAAGUCGACGUCACACCGAUCUUCUCUUGGCGUGGCCGAAAGGAUCGAUAAGACGUGCUGUUAAUGAGCGACCUUUGGAUAUCAAGUUGCGAUCUAGUAGGAAUGUAUGGGCCGUCUGAGGAUUGAAGACGUCGCUGAUUCAAGCGUGUCAAGGUCGUGCGGGAAGACAACACGAUCGUGCUCGUUCAGAAUAUGCGGCAGGUGCCACAUGGCACGACCUGCACGCAUUUGCAUCCGUUUGUUUCGUCGACGCGAUCGCGAGGAGGAGACGACGUAGAACAGCUCCGAGGUCAGCUCAGAAUAUAUAUCUGAUUCGGCGAUGUUUGUUCGACUCAUUGGUUCACAUACGUCGACCUCCCCUGGGACGUCGUUCUUUCCCUGCGUGCUGAUAUUGACCGGCGGGAUCACACGCAGUUUACAAGAAGUGGUUUUUACGACGAGCGGUCUUUUCCAUUUAGAGAGCCCGUGAACCCGGGCAAUUUGACAGCAUAAAAGCGCAGGUAGCUGGCGUCGUAUCGAGAGGCGGUACACGAGAUUCUCUCAUCGUCAGUCGCAGGGUUAGCGACCGUGAAAGUACUCCCUUGCAAAAGUGGAACGGGCAUUUUUCAAAAUCAUUGCGAUUGCGCCCACAACCGACACACUUCGCGGCGGGUCGUUGCACCGGAGGUCGGUUUCCUUGUUCUUCUCACCUUCGGCCGUCCUCGGUGCGCCAACCAUAAAAGAAAGUGUUCCCUAAGUGCGUCGGUUAACGCGUUGCGCUAGUUAGCUCCUCUUGAUCUUCCUUUCGAUCCCGCCGCUUUUCUCUUUACCAGAAGAUGAAGACUCUCGACACGACGCUUCUGCGAGUCAUUCGAGGCAUUAUUAUGAUGACUCUUUCGAGUUUUCGACUAGCGGUAAAUUGUGAAUCAAUCGGGUCACAAAAAUUUCGAUUUGAUACUUUGAUUCGAUAUUUUUACAUUUGAAGUUGUUUUACAUUCAAUCAGAUACAUAACAUCAUUAAGAAUUCUUUUUCAAAGAUCUAUUAUUUUAUUUAUCUUUUGAAAAAAAUAGAAAUCUAAAAAACGAUUCCGUGUUUGCUGAAACA